This 1282-nucleotide ribosomal RNA is filed under the name Vibrio sp. S2689. RNAcentral's name for it is "bacterial SSU rRNA". It matches the Rfam family "Bacterial small subunit ribosomal RNA", at positions 25 to 1286 of the family's 1533-position model. Lineage: Bacteria; Pseudomonadati; Pseudomonadota; Gammaproteobacteria; Vibrionales; Vibrionaceae. The record is from RNAcentral.
CAGAUUGAACGCUGGCGGCAGGCCUAACACAUGCAAGUCGAGCGGAAACGAGUUAUCUGAACCUUCGGGGAACGAUAACGGCGUCGAGCGGCGGACGGGUGAGUAAUGCCUAGGAAAUUGCCCUGAUGUGGGGGAUAACCAUUGGAAACGAUGGCUAAUACCGCAUGAUGCCUACGGGCCAAAGAGGGGGACCUUCGGGCCUCUCGCGUCAGGAUAUGCCUAGGUGGGAUUAGCUAGUUGGUGAGGUAAGGGCUCACCAAGGCGACGAUCCCUAGCUGGUCUGAGAGGAUGAUCAGCCACACUGGAACUGAGACACGGUCCAGACUCCUACGGGAGGCAGCAGUGGGGAAUAUUGCACAAUGGGCGCAAGCCUGAUGCAGCCAUGCCGCGUGUGUGAAGAAGGCCUUCGGGUUGUAAAGCACUUUCAGUCGUGAGGAAGGUAGUGUAGUUAAUAGCUGCAUUAUUUGACGUUAGCGACAGAAGAAGCACCGGCUAACUCCGUGCCAGCAGCCGCGGUAAUACGGAGGGUGCGAGCGUUAAUCGGAAUUACUGGGCGUAAAGCGCAUGCAGGUGGUUUGUUAAGUCAGAUGUGAAAGCCCGGGGCUCAACCUCGGAAUAGCAUUUGAAACUGGCAGACUAGAGUACUGUAGAGGGGGGUAGAAUUUCAGGUGUAGCGGUGAAAUGCGUAGAGAUCUGAAGGAAUACCGGUGGCGAAGGCGGCCCCCUGGACAGAUACUGACACUCAGAUGCGAAAGCGUGGGGAGCAAACAGGAUUAGAUACCCUGGUAGUCCACGCCGUAAACGAUGUCUACUUGGAGGUUGUGGCCUUGAGCCGUGGCUUUCGGAGCUAACGCGUUAAGUAGACCGCCUGGGGAGUACGGUCGCAAGAUUAAAACUCAAAUGAAUUGACGGGGGCCCGCACAAGCGGUGGAGCAUGUGGUUUAAUUCGAUGCAACGCGAAGAACCUUACCUACUCUUGACAUCCAGAGAACUUUCCAGAGAUGGAUUGGUGCCUUCGGGAACUCUGAGACAGGUGCUGCAUGGCUGUCGUCAGCUCGUGUUGUGAAAUGUUGGGUUAAGUCCCGCAACGAGCGCAACCCUUAUCCUUGUUUGCCAGCGAGUAAUGUCGGGAACUCCAGGGAGACUGCCGGUGAUAAACCGGAGGAAGGUGGGGACGACGUCAAGUCAUCAUGGCCCUUACGAGUAGGGCUACACACGUGCUACAAUGGCGCAUACAGAGGGGCGGCCACUUGCGAAAGUGAGCGAAUCCCAAAAAGUGCGU